GAUGAACGCUGGCGGCGUGCCUAAUACAUGCAAGUCGAGCGAACAGACGAGGAGCUUGCUCCUCUGACGUUAGCGGCGGACAGGUGAGUAACACGUGGAUAACCUACCUAUAAGACUGGGAUAACUUCGGGAAACCGGAGCUAAUACCGGAUAAUAUAUUGAACCGCAUGGUUCAAUAGUGAAAGACGGUUUUACUGUCACUUAUAGAUGGAUCCGCGCCGCAUUAGCUAGUUGGUAAGGUAACGGCUUACCAAGGCAACGAUGCGUAGCCGACCUGAGAGGGUGAUCGGCCACACUGGAACUGAGACACGGUCCAGACUCCUACGGGAGGCAGCAGUAGGGAAUCUUCCGCAAUGGGCGAAAGCCUGACGGAGCAACGCCGCGUGAGUGAUGAAGGUCUUCGGAUCGUAAAACUCUGUUAUUAGGGAAGAACAAAUGUGUAAGUAACUAUGCACGUCUUGACGGUACCUAAUCAGAAAGCCACGGCUAACUACGUG
RNAcentral lists this ribosomal RNA (497 nucleotides) under uncultured bacterium. RNAcentral describes it as "partial 16S ribosomal RNA". It matches the Rfam family "Bacterial small subunit ribosomal RNA", at positions 28 to 507 of the family's 1533-position model. The record is from RNAcentral.